GACGAACGCUGGCGGCGUGCUUAACACAUGCAAGUCGAACGGAAAGGCCCUGCUUGCAGGGUACUCUAGUGUCGAACGGGUGAGUAACACGUGUGUGUUCUGCCCUCCACUUCGUGAUAUGCCUUGGAAACUGUGUCUAUUACCGGAUAUAAGCCCUUCUUCUUGUUAUUGUUGGAAAGUUUUUUCGGUGUAGGAUGAGCUCGCGGCCUAUCAGCUUGUUGGUGGGGUAAUGGCCUACCAAGGCGGCGACGGGUAGCCGGCCUGAGAGGGUGGACGGCCACAUUGGGACUGAGAUACGGCCCAGACUCCUACGGGAGGCAGCAGUGGGGAAUAUUGCACAAUGGGCGCAAGCCUGAUGCAGCGACGCCGCGUGGGGGAUGACGGCCUUCGGGUUGUAAACUCCUUUCGCUAGGGACGAAGCUUUUGUGACGGUACCUAGAUAAGAAGCACCGGCUAACUACGUG
Molecule: ribosomal RNA, 464 nt
Filed under: uncultured bacterium
Lineage: Bacteria
Description: partial 16S ribosomal RNA
Rfam family: Bacterial small subunit ribosomal RNA
Source: RNAcentral